This 236-nucleotide ribosomal RNA is filed under the name uncultured Lactobacillus sp. RNAcentral describes it as "partial 16S ribosomal RNA". It matches the Rfam family "Bacterial small subunit ribosomal RNA", at positions 127 to 354 of the family's 1533-position model. The record is from RNAcentral. Lineage: Bacteria; Bacillati; Bacillota; Bacilli; Lactobacillales; Lactobacillaceae.
UGCCCCAUAGUCUGGGAUACCACUUGGAAACAGGUGCUAAUACCGGAUAAGAAAGCGGAUCGCAUGAUCAGCUUUUAAAAGGCGGCGUAAGCUGUCGCUAUGGGAUGGCCCCGCGGUGCAUUAGCUAGUUGGUAAGGUAAAGGCUUACCAAGGCGAUGAUGCAUAGCCGAGUUGAGAGACUGAUCGGCCACAUUGGGACUGAGACACGGCCCAAACUCCUACGGGAGGCAGCAGAC